GGAAGGGUGGCCGAGUGGUUGAAGGCACCGGUCUUGAAAACCGGCAGGGGGUUACGCUCCCUCGUGGGUUCGAAUCCCACCCCUUCCGCCA
Molecule: transfer RNA, 91 nt
Filed under: Xanthobacteraceae bacterium
Lineage: Bacteria; Pseudomonadati; Pseudomonadota; Alphaproteobacteria; Hyphomicrobiales; Xanthobacteraceae
Also listed under: 1 other name
Description: tRNA-Ser
Rfam family: tRNA
About the family: Transfer RNA (tRNA) molecules are approximately 80 nucleotides in length. Their secondary structure includes four short double-helical elements and three loops (D, anti-codon, and T loops).
Source: RNAcentral